GACGAACGCUGGCGGCGUGCUUAACACAUGCCAGUCGAACGGAAAGGCCCUGCUUGUGUGGGGUGCUCGAGUGGCGAACGGGUGAGUAACACGUGAGUAACCUGCCCUUGACGUUGGGAUAACUUCAGGAAACUGGGGCUAAUACCGGAUAGGAGCUCCUGCUGCAUGGUGGGGGUUGGAAAGUUUCGGCGGUUGGGGAUGGACUCGCGGCUUAUCAGCUUGUUGGUGGGGUAGUGGCUUACCAAGGCUUUGACGGGUAGCCGGCCUGAGAGGGUGACCGGCCACAUUGGGACUGAGAUACGGCCCAGACUCCUACGGGAGGCAGCAGUGGGGAAUAUUGCACAAUGGGCGGAAGCCUGAUGCAGCAACGCCGCGUGCGGGAUGACGGCCUUCGGGUUGUAAACCGCUUUCGCCUGUGACGAAGCGUGAGUGACGGUAAUGGGUAAAGAAGCACCGGCUAACUACGUG
Molecule: ribosomal RNA, 468 nt
Filed under: uncultured bacterium
Lineage: Bacteria
Description: partial 16S ribosomal RNA
Rfam family: Bacterial small subunit ribosomal RNA
Source: RNAcentral